This 172-nucleotide non-coding RNA is filed under the name Paraglaciecola psychrophila. RNAcentral describes it as "MoCo sequence". It matches the Rfam family "Molybdenum/Tungsten riboswitch aptamer (Moco RNA motif)". The record is from RNAcentral. RNAcentral also lists the same sequence under 1 other name. Lineage: Bacteria; Pseudomonadati; Pseudomonadota; Gammaproteobacteria; Alteromonadales; Alteromonadaceae.
ACCGGUGCAUAACUCCGAGCUAUCUCACCUAAAUCUAUGACAAGGUGCUUUAGCCGUGAAUCUGUUAAUUUUUCUGAUUCGCCAGGGUUGUAAGAGAAAUCGAACAGCCUCCCGUAAGUGUCGCAAAUUUGUGUGUCACUUCAAUUUGGAAAGGUGUUAAAUAAUAUGUUAG